Bactrocera neohumeralis is the source of this 400-nucleotide long non-coding RNA. RefSeq lists it as uncharacterized. Lineage: Eukaryota; Metazoa; Arthropoda; Insecta; Diptera; Tephritidae. The record is from RefSeq and is a predicted model, not a curated record. The transcript has 2 exons.
CGGGAAUUAUAAGUGACUUAUAGAGAUAUAUCAUCGGCAUACCCCAGCAGCUGUACACUCUUAUAAAUAAUUGUACCUGCUCGAUUAAGGAUAUAUUAAAUUUAUCACGGUGUUUGUAACAUCCAGAUAGAUACGUCGGAGACGCUAUAAAAUAUGUACAUAUGUACAUAUAUACAUUCAACAAACGUCUCAUUAUUGGUGACGAGAACAUGACAUCGCAUGAACAUGACGUCGCAGCUGUCUGACAAUCUAGCGAACGGCGCGCCAAAAAUUAGUCAAAACCAAAGUUGACUGAGGGCAGUGAAAACCAUCACAGCCGAGGCUUAUAACAUGUGUAUUGAAUUUGGAAGCUUGUAUUGACUCCGAUUUUAAAGGUGAUAAUAAAGAUUUGUAUUGAGAA